This 930-nucleotide long non-coding RNA is filed under the name Homo sapiens (human). RNAcentral's name for it is "HSALNT0382090". The record is from RNAcentral. Lineage: Eukaryota; Metazoa; Chordata; Mammalia; Primates; Hominidae.
GGCAACCAGUUGGGGGUCCACUGCCGCAGUGUGGGAGGUUUGUUCUUUCGCUCUUUGCAAUAAAUCUUGUUACUGCUCACCCUGGGUCCACACUGCUUUUGUGAGUUGUAACACUCACUGGGAAGGUCUGCAGCUUCACUCCUCAAGCCCGGGAGACCGCGAGCCCACCGGGAGAAACGAACAACUCUAGACGCGCCGCCUUAAAAGCGGUAACAUUCACUGCGAAGGUCUGCAGCUUUACUCCUGAGCCAGCGAGACCACGAGCCCACCAGAAGGAAGAAACCCCGAAUACGUCUGAACGUCAGAAGGAACAAACUCCAGAAGCGCCACCUCAAGAGCUGUAACACUCACCGCGAGGGUCCGCGGCUUCAGUCUUGAAGUCAGUGAGACCAAGAACCCACCAAUUCGGGACACAAUACCUAUAAUCCCAGUACUUUAGGAGGCCAGGGCAGGCGGAUCAUCUGAGCUCAGGGGUUGGAGAGGAGCCUGAACAACAUACCGAAACCCCGUCUCUACAAAAAAUACAAAAAUUAACCGGUUGUGGUGGCCGGUGCCGGUAGUUCCAGCUAGUGGGGGACUGCGGAGGUGGGAGCUGAAGCGGGAGGAUCGCUUGAGCCUGGAGGUUGAGGCUGCAGUAAACAGGGAUUGCGUCAGGACACUCCAACCUGGGGAACAGAACGAUGCCCUAAAAGGCUGGCUGAGCUGACUGGAGUCCAAUCUCCUGACUCUCAACCCGCCAGGUUUUCUCCUAACGGACGUCGUAUUUUCACAAGGAUCAAAUGCUGAAGAGAUGAAGUUCCAACGGUGGAGAUUCAAGAGUGGAGAGCAGAAGUGGGGCUGCAGAGCUACCCAGAUCCCAGGAAAAACUACACGUGAGAAAAGGGGACUGACAGCUAUUUAAUAUCUACAAAAUCACUACAUGGUGCUUCC